UAACACGUACGAGGAGGCAGCUGCAUACAUUCAGUGUCAGUUUGAAGAUCUGAACCGAAGAAAAGACACCAAGGAAAUUUAUACCCAUUUCACCUGUGCCACUGAUACCAAGAAUGUGCAGUUUGUUUUUGAUGCUGUUACAGAUGUUAUAAUUAAAAACAACCUGAAGGAAUGUGGACUCUACUAAAAGGAGAGGACGACACUGAAAGAUUUCCGAGAUGUGGUGUUUUAAGAACUGGACUGUUUAUUUGCUGCCUCAUGGGACAGCUGCAAGCAUGAACAGGACCGGGGAAUGAAAACAGCAUGCAAAUCCUUGCAUUCUUUAGCACAAUCUUCUGUACUAGGGACCUUUUUAUUGAUAUGGGAUGCUGAAGUUAGACUUAAAAAAGGAACUACUGUUUUGAUUUUUUGACCACCCAAGCGUCACUUGGAUUGCAUAAUCUCAAAUGUGUACAGCUGUUACGAAGUUCAUGUCCCAGAACUUCAAUAUGUAGCUUGCUUUCUUUUAAUAACCCACCAGUAGUCUGUUUUUAAGGUUUUUCAUCAAAAUUAUAUUUUGACUAAAUUGUAUUUCUUUGCAAAUGACAUUUUGUUGUUUUUAAAAUCACUUAACUAUGCACAUGGUAUGACCAGCUCAUGCAGAAAGUAUUCCUCUUAGAAGGAGCCUUUUGUUUUUAACACUUAGUGUGGUCAGAACUUGAUAUUACUGCAACUACUUAAAAGAGCCUUAGGAUCCAUAUGGCUAAUGCUAUGGCUUCUUCUGAUGUAUAAUUUGUUACCAUUCUGCUUCAUGUGCUGUAACGCUUUUUUCCUCAAAAAAGAGAUUCUCUGCAGCAGGGUAACAGGUUUUUCUGGCUUAUGAGAUGGGAAGGUUAGCCUGGUUUAUGCCAAUUACCAGACCACUGAGUGUCCUACUGUUGUAGCAGGCAGAACUCUGUUCCUCCUGUGAAAUGCCUGAAGUGGCUUCCAGUUAGACAAGAAAACUGUAAAAU
Long non-coding RNA from Gekko japonicus, 992 nucleotides. RefSeq lists it as uncharacterized. The transcript has 2 exons. The record is from RefSeq and is a predicted model, not a curated record. NCBI's taxonomy places the organism in Eukaryota, Metazoa, Chordata, Lepidosauria, Squamata, Gekkonidae.